CCCAGUAACGGCGAGUGAAGCGGCAACAGCUCAAAUUUGAAAUCUGGCUCCCCCCUGGGGGGCCCGAGUUGUAAUUUGGAGAGGAUGCUUUGGGCGCGGCGCCUUCCGAGUUCCUUGGAACAGGACGCCAGAGAGGGUGAGAGCCCCGUACGGUCGGACGCCUAGCCCGUGCAAAGCUCCUUCGACGAGUCGAGUAGUUUGGGAAUGCUGCUCAAAAUGGGAGGUAAAUUUCUUCUAAAGCUAAAUACCGGCCAGAGACCGAUAGCGCACAAGUAGAGUGAUCGAAAGAUGAAAAGCACUUUGAAAAGAGGGUUAAACAGCACGUGAAAUUGUUGAAAGGGAAGCGCUUGUGGCCAGACGUGCGCCCCGCGGACCACCCGUCGCUCUGCGGCGGGGCACGCCGCGGCGGCGCAGGCCAGCAUCGGCUCUCCCAGGGGGACAAAGGCCGCGGGAACGUAGCUCCUUCGGGAGUGUUAUAGCCCGCGGCGUCAUACCUCUGGGGGGGCCGAGGACCGCGCCUUCGGGCAAGGAUGCUGGCGUAAUGGCCACCAGCGACCCGUCUUGAAACACGGACCAAGGAGUCAAGCAUUGGGGCGAGUGUUUGGGUGACAAACCCGCACGCGAAAUGAAAGUGAACGCAGGUGGGAGCCUCCGGGCGCACCACCGACCGAUCCUGAUGUUUUCGGAUGGAUUUGAGUAGGAGCCUUGCCG
This 711-nucleotide ribosomal RNA is filed under the name Raffaelea sp. AC-2016. RNAcentral's name for it is "eukaryotic LSU rRNA". It matches the Rfam family "Eukaryotic large subunit ribosomal RNA", at positions 79 to 808 of the family's 3401-position model. Lineage: Eukaryota; Fungi; Ascomycota; Sordariomycetes; Ophiostomatales; Ophiostomataceae. The record is from RNAcentral.